This 377-nucleotide unclassified non-coding RNA is filed under the name uncultured Hypocreales. RNAcentral's name for it is "sequence contains ITS2". The stretch from base 1 to 153 matches the Rfam family "5.8S ribosomal RNA". The record is from RNAcentral. Lineage: Eukaryota; Fungi; Ascomycota; Sordariomycetes; Hypocreales.
AACUUUCGGCAAUGGAUCACUUGGUUCUGGCAUCGAUGAAGAACGCAGCGAAAUGCGAUAAGUAAUGUGAAUUGCAGAAUUAGUGAAUCAUCGAAUCUUUGAACGCACAUUGCGCCCGCUAGUAUUCUAGCGGGCAUGCCUGUUCGAGCGUCAUUUCAACCCUCAGGCCCCCUAGGCCUGGCGUUGGGGAUCUGCCGGGCCCGUCCCGGCAGGCCCCGAAAUAUAGUGGCGGUCCCGCUGUAGCCUCCUCUGCGUAGUAACUCACCUCGCUCUGGGACUCGGCGCGGCCAUGCCGUUAAACACCCCACUUUCUCAAGGUUGACCUCGGAUCAGGUAGGAAUACCCGCUGAACUUAAGCAUAUCAAUAAGCGGAGGCU